GAUGAAGAACGUAGCAAAAUGCGAUAAGUAAUGUGAAUUGCAGAAUUCAGUGAAUCAUCGAAUCUUUGAACGCACAUUGCGCCCGCCAGUAUUCUGGCGGGCAUGCCUGUUCGAGCGUCAUUUCAACCCUCAAGCACAGCUUGGUGUUGGGACUCGCGUUAAUUCGCGUUCCCCAAAUUGAUUGGCGGUCACGUCGAGCUUCCAUAGCGUAGUAGUAAAACCCUCGUUACUGGUAAUCGUCGCGGCCACGCCGUUAAACCCCAACUUCUGAAUGUUGACCUCGGAUCAGGUAGGAAUACCCGCUGAUCUUAAGCAUAUCAAUAAGCGGAGGA
This 332-nucleotide unclassified non-coding RNA is filed under the name soil metagenome. RNAcentral's name for it is "partial contains 5.8S ribosomal RNA, internal transcribed spacer 2, and large subunit ribosomal RNA". The stretch from base 1 to 120 matches the Rfam family "5.8S ribosomal RNA", at positions 35 to 154 of the family's 154-position model. The record is from RNAcentral.